Long non-coding RNA from Pteropus alecto (black flying fox), 635 nucleotides. RefSeq lists it as uncharacterized. NCBI's taxonomy places the organism in Eukaryota, Metazoa, Chordata, Mammalia, Chiroptera, Pteropodidae. The record is from RefSeq and is a predicted model, not a curated record. The transcript is spliced from 3 exons.
CUUGGAAGUUGUUAGGGCCUGCUUUUGUUGAGAGUAGGGCUUUGCGGUUCUGGUUUGCAGUUCUGGCACCACUCCGGCCCUGCUCCCUUACUUCUCUCUGCCACACGACUCAGCUUUGGCACCCGGAACCAAAGCUGAUGGGGGAACCUAACCUCUAUGUGGAGUGUAUCCGUCUCAUGGGAGAAAGAAAGAGAUAAGGCAAAUGAUGUCCUGACUUAUAAAGCUUUGCGCAAAAGAGACCAACACCAUUUCUUUGGUUAAACAAGUCAUAUGACCAUUCCUAAGGUCAACAGCAUGGGACUAUGUCCUUAUACAGAGAGGAAGACUGCAAGUAAAGACAAUGGAACGUCUGUCAAAUGAGAAUUCAUCUCCACAACCUCCUCCUUGGACGACUUCUCUCCCAAGGUUGAAUGCAUGAUUGAAGACGAGCCAUCAGCGGUGGGAGAUGGAAGAGGAACUGUCGAUGGGACCAAUGUGCAUGGUUUAGUCAAUAACUGAAGUCAGAAAAAGGAAGCUGAUCCACCUAGCAAAACGAAAACUUCAAAGUUUUAAAAUAGAGUGAAAGAUAAUUUUCUGAGAAGGGAGUCACUCUAUCUCCAGGUAAGUUCACUGCAAAUAAACUGAAACCACUUCAC